UGUUCUGAACCAAUACAAACGAAGCUGAUGUUCAGAUUGGUGAGCAUUUAAAUGGCAACAAAACAAACCACCCUUGAGACGUCAUCACACGCUGCACAUUCAUAUGCGCACAUUUUCAUUAGUCUUACUCUGUGGACAUAAUUUUAAACCGAAAGUAUAACGAACGUUUCAAGCUACAACCUAUAAGUUAAAUAUGCGGAUGCUGCGCACCUUGUAUUUUCUGUGUAUGGUAACACUAUCUGCGGGAUUGCCCAUGGGCACAGUUAUUCGGUAUGAGUACAAUAGUGUGUUCGGCGAGGAAGAGACAUUUCAAGAGAGAAUCUUCAUUAACGGAUCCCCCGUCACACCCAAUGGCAAUGGAGAUGUUCGUACUGGAGUAAUCGACGUAAUGUCCUUCAACAAUGGCAGUUCAUCUCUACACGAUUCUCUCAGGGUUUUUGCAAAUAGUUUCAACAAAACAAAAAAAGACCACACUUACCAGCGUCUUCGAGAGUGCAAAUUUAAUGGACACCAAGUGAUGCAUAUAUCUGACCGGAUCAAGCACAAUGGGAAAGAUUAUUUGUCUCUGGACCAAACGACAGACACCUGGGUGGCCUUGGACCCGCAGGCCGUUUUCCUGAAAAAGGAGUUGGACCGCGACAGUGAACGCACAGUGCGUGACAGGAUGUGUUUUCAGGAGGCCUGUACGGAGUUGAUGAAGGACCUAAACCACUCGUACUCUGCAUCCAAAGGGGGUUCAGCUACAGUUUUAGCCCCACUCCUGGCAGUACUUAUAUUAUUUGGUCUGGUCAUUCUCAGCGUUAUGUCUAAACACAAUGUCAAAGGUUCUGCUUCACCAGCAGGGGUUCUGGGUUCAAUAGUCCACUAUCCAGCUCAAACCUCAGACACUGUCAAGGAACCAGCUAUACAACCUUCCCUCUCCAUCAAAGCAUCCUUACUGAGCAAUAUGCCUUGAUUCCAGUAUGUGUAGGCAGAAUUUGAUGUAAGUUCCAGUCAUUCAUAGAAAUCCUGUGAGGCUCUGCUGAUACAUCCUGGUUUCCUACCUCUAGUGCCUCUGUAGUGAUUUUUUUUUGUGUUAUGAUUUAUAUACAUAGCUUAUGGAAGCUGAAUUGCACUGCUAAGAUGUAUGUGGAAAUACACUUAUAACUUACAGAAAGGUUUUAUUCGAUUUGUUGCUUGAUGCUUGUGCUCCUGCCACAGCUACUCAUUACUGGCACUACUGAGUUCAUUAACUUAACAAAACUAACCAGGGAGGUUGAAAAUAAGUAUUGCACAAUUUGGUACUCCCUGAGAUGUUUAAUUCAAUACCUGUGGAUAGCUCAGAGCAAACAAAAUGCUCUGACAGCCAAAAAUUCUGUUUUAGAUAUGUACAAAUGGUAUUCUUAUUUCAGACCACUUUAUGUUUAAUAAAACAUAGAAAUGUUAUAGGGUUUAAUUGUUCCAAAGACAUCUGAAUGAUAUUGUAUUUAGACUGCUGUAACCUUGUGUCACUGUUUGCUACUUUAAAUUAAAGAUAAUGUGCUUGUACUAUUUUGUGUAAUACAAUAUUUUAAACGUGCAGUUUGUAUUGUCAAAAUUAAACAUGGAAGUGUUAGUUUUUAAGUUAGUUUUAAAGGUUAUGUUUAAAUACUAUUGAAACUGUCAUUGUACAAACCAAGAACAAUUAUUAUUAUUAUUAUUAUUAUAGUAAUUGAUUUUACUUUAAUAUGGUUUUAUGAAUGAAAUGACAGCAUGAUUAUUGUUUAAUUUUCUCAUUGUUGUUUUUACUGUAUUUGUAUCUGUUUUAUAAGUGACUUUUGAAAAAAGUGUCUACUUAGUACCAUAAUUUGAACUACAACUAUGACUGUAUUCAUAACAACAAUGUAGGCUAGGCCAAAAAAAUAGACAGAACUUCGUUCGACCGGACUAUAUUGUUGGUAGUACCACUCAGAGG
This is a long non-coding RNA of Clupea harengus (Atlantic herring), 1933 nucleotides long. The record is from Ensembl. Lineage: Eukaryota; Metazoa; Chordata; Actinopteri; Clupeiformes; Clupeidae.